GACGAACGCUGGCGGCGUGCUUAACACAUGCAAGUCGAACGGAAAGGCCCUGCUUUUGUGGGGUGCUCGAGUGGCGAACGGGUGAGUAACACGUGAGUAACCUGCCCUUGACUUUGGGAUAACUUCAGGAAACUGGGGCUAAUACCGGAUAGGAGCUCCUGCUGCAUGGUGGGGGUUGGAAAGUUUCGGCGGUUGGGGAUGGACUCGCGGCUUAUCAGCUUGUUGGUGGGGUAGUGGCUUACCAAGGCUUUGACGGGUAGCCGGCCUGAGAGGGUGACCGGCCACAUUGGGACUGAGAUACGGCCCAGACUCCUACGGGAGGCAGCAGUGGGGAAUAUUGCACAAUGGGCGGAAGCCUGAUGCAGCAACGCCGCGUGCGGGAUGACGGCCUUCGGGUUGUAAACCGCUUUCGCCUGUGACGAAGCGUGAGUGACGGUAAUGGGUAAAGAAGCACCGGCUAACUACGUGCCAGCAGCCGCGGUGAUACGUAGGGUGCGAGCGUUGUCCGGAUUUAUUGGGCGUAAAGGGCUCGUAGGUGGUUGAUCGCGUCGGAAGUGUAAUCUUGGGGCUUAACCCUGAGCGUGCUUUCGAUACGGGUUGACUUGAGGAAGGUAGGGGAGAGUGGAAUUCCUGGUGGAGCGGUGGAAUACGCAGAUAUCAGGAGGAACACCAGUGGCGAAGGCGGUUCUCUGGGCCUUUCCUGACGCUGAGGAGCGAAAGCGUGGGGAGCGAACAGGCUUAGAUACCCUGGUAGUCCACGCUGUAAACGGUGGGUACUAGGUGUGGGGUCCAUUCCACGGGUUCCGUGCCGUAGCUAACGCUUUAAGUACCCCGCCUGGGGAGUACGGCCGCAAGGCUAAAACUCAAAGGAAUUGACGGGGCCCCGCACAAGCGGCGGAGCAUGCGGAUUAAUUCGAUGCAACGCGUAGAACCUUACCUGGGUUUGACAUGGAUCGGGAGUGCUCAGAGAUGGGUGUGCCUCUUUUGGGGUCGGUUCACAGGUGGUGCAUGCCUGUCGUCAGCUCGUGUCGUGAGAUGUUGGGUUAAGUCCCGCAACGAGCGCAACCCUUGUUCACUGUUGCCAGCACGUUAUGGUGGGGACUCAGUGGAGACCGCCGGGGUCAACUCGGAGGAAGGUGGGGAUGACGUCAAGUCCUCAUGCCCCUUAUGUCCAGGGCUUCACGCAUGCUACAAUGGCUGGUACAGAGAGUGGCGAGCCUGUGAGGGUGAGCGAAUCUCGGAAAGCCGGUCUCAGUUCGGAUUGGGGUCUGCAACUCGACCUCAUGAAGUCGGAGUCGCUAGUAAUCGCAGAUCAGCAACGCUGCGGUGAAUACGUUCCCGGG
Molecule: ribosomal RNA, 1343 nt
Filed under: uncultured bacterium
Lineage: Bacteria
Description: 16S ribosomal RNA
Rfam family: Bacterial small subunit ribosomal RNA
Source: RNAcentral